CUCUCUCUACUCUCUACUUUCUCUCUCUAUUUUUUCUCUCUAAAAUUUUCUCUCUAUUCUUCAUGGAUUUCUUUCUCUAAAGAUUUUAUGGGCCAACAGAGAGUCUAGGUACAUGAUAGGUUUGAAUCAAUAAUAGAAGGUGCCUUAGACUAGGUUGUGAGUUCCAGGGUCCUGAGCUAGCAUCAUGCAACCACCUAUACAA
Molecule: long non-coding RNA, 202 nt
Filed under: Elaeis guineensis (African oil palm)
Lineage: Eukaryota; Viridiplantae; Streptophyta; Magnoliopsida; Arecales; Arecaceae
Description: long non-coding RNA (EGUI_LNC025701)
Source: RNAcentral